UUUCAUACCAGAGUGUGAGGGAGUCAGCAUUUCCAGUAUUUAUGGACGCGAUGGGGCCCCUAUUUGGUCUUCCUGGAAACCACCGCCACAGGGAGGGUGGGAAGUGGGAAACAGACCCCUAGGGACAGGGGCAGCCCUGACCUUUCCCUCCUGUCAGCACUCUGAAAACUUUUUGUAUUCACAUGAGACCAGUUAGAGAGAGCCCACCACACCCCAUCACACCCCAACCGCCAUUCGUCAGCAAGCCAACAAACACUUGGAGCAGAAAGCAGAAACAGGACCUGAACAGGAAAAGUCCAAGGAAGGACUUGGAUGCACAAGUCCCUCUGGUUGUGCCCUGCCGCACACGGAUGACCACACACAAGGAAAAUAUUGAGUUUGAGCCGCUAUUUCCUAUGUGACCUUGGACAACUUGCUUCACCUCUCCGUGCUUUGUUUGCUCCAAAGAAAUGCAGACAAGUGACCCCUUCAGAGCACAGGUCCUUGGGAGGACUUGGUCUUCACUGCAGCUGGCAGGAAAGAGCCACAAGUCACAUGGUGCCAGAUCUGGUGAACAAGGAGAAGAGGACAAGCUGUACUGUUUUUGACAAUCUGCCUUCCUAUUGGGUGGCCUUUAUCAGUGGUCUGUAGCAGAGUUUUGAUCACACCUGGUAAAGACACUCAUGAAAGAGCACUUCCAGAACUGCUUCGGAAAGUGGCAAGAUGAUGGGAUCAGUGUGUUGGAAAGAGGAGGAUUUUGAAGGGGAUGAAUGGUAAGGUGUCUUUUACUGUAGUAUAUUUUUUAACUGAGACAUUCACCAUAUAUUUUGAUUACUCCUCGUAUUUGAAGUUUACAGUUUAUGUGAGUAGGAGGCUAGCAUAUCAUGCAUAGCCCCUGGCUGUCCAGGGAUAGCAGCGUUUGGCUUGAGGCCACUCUAAGUUCAUGUACCCCGGCCACUUGCUGAUCUGUUCUGUGGAGCCCAGGAGAACAUGGGGCCGAGGGCUGAGCCAGAGUUUGAAGCACACACCCAGCAUCGCGUGGGCAGCACAGCCCGAAGGGCUCCAUAAAUCCACAGUGACAAGCCCUGCACGGUCACCACGACCCCAGUGGAGCCUGGGGACAACAUUUCCUUUCCUGUCUGUUGCCUGCAGAUGCAGCCAGCCAGGGGAAAGACACUAUUCCCAGAUGUGUGUGUUGGAACAGCAGAGGAGAGAGAGGAGGAUGUGAGGCUGUAGGCCUGUCGUGCGAAGGCGAGGUGCCAGGCUGUGGAGAGCCCAAGGUGACAUCUGACGUGCAGGAAGGAAACCCAGAGAGGUCACGGUUUGGCCAUCUGCUGUGACAAGCAGAUGAACCCGACGUCUGGUGGACAUCCUUCAGGCUCUGGGCUCUGAGAGCUCUCUGCUCCUUCCUCUCCCUUGGGGCUCAUUUGUGGUCCCUGACUUGUGCAGUCCACACCCAGGCAUCAGGACAGGUCACUGUCCAGGCUCUUGGCCAGAUGUUGGUUAUACUGCAGAGUCACCAGGCUGGGGACCCAAAGAAGUCCCAUUCACCAGCCACUGUCUUAGAUCUGGACACCUGGAGUCCAGUCUACUGCUCUGCUAGGUUUUUUUUUUUUUUUUUUUUUCCUUCAAAUGCCUCCAGUAACAAGGAGCUCACACCCUAUCAAAAACACUUUAAAUUCAGAACUUGCAAGGAAUCCAGUGUUUGGCUCAAGGCAUGGCUACAUCAUGCCUUUUGUUUAUCUGGUACAGACCUAGCUCCCUUUUCCUGAUUGGCUUCUCAAUUGCCAGGGUGUGGAAAGGUCCUCUUUCUUGAAGGAACUCCAAAGAAGCAUUUGUGGUUGAUUGACAGCUGGUAGUCAACUUGUAACACCCAGCUGAGGUGAAUCAGCGUGGUGCUGGGUGUGGAGGGCACCUGAGGAUGGCUGCCAACAGCAUAAAAUGGAGAACUGGACAGGAAGAGGCGGUGUUACUGGUUCUCCUGUUAACACUGGUUUUCCUGAAGAAGCUUGUCGCGCUGGUUUCCUGAUAUGAACCUGGCUGUUCUCAUUGUCAGAGGAGCUUGGGGCCUCACUGUCAAUGAGAAUGGCUGAGGUUCAUUUUGGGGGAGCUCUGGUCUUUACCGCUUCCUGGUUCCAGAGAGGAAGAUGGUGUGCGGUUCAAUCUCCAGGAGAAGCUUGUCACGAUGGCUUAGUGAUAUGAACUCAGCUGUUCUCAUCAUCGGAGGAGUUUGGGAUCUGUUGUCACUGAGGAUGGCUGUGGUACUUUUCAGGGGAGCUCUGGUCCUUUCUUUGAGCAUUGCUUCCUGGCUCCAGUGCAGAUUCCUCAGCGGCUGGCACAGAACCUUCAUCCCACUGGCACAGGCUUUCUAGCUUUCACUGCUGACCUUUGGGCCUUCCCAGUGCAGAUCCAUGAAAUAGAUUUUCAUGCAACAUUGUCAUGGGCUCUAGGUCUUCAGCUGGACUCCUGUAGGACAUUGCUAUGAGCUCCAGUUCCUCACCUGGAUUCUUUAGGUCUUCAACGUGUGGACAGGUUUCCUGCACUUGUGUUUGACUCUUUAGGUAUGUUAUAACCUAUAUAUUAAAAACCCCUCAUAAGUCUCCUCGGAGGCAAGAAAAGAUCAAAGGUAACUCUAAGAACAGAACAGGAUGUCUUCCUAAUCUAAACUUGCUUGUUUGCAGGGAAAUUUGCUUGUUUGCAGGAUGUCCUUCCCCCAGAGGAUGUUUGCCUAAUCUAAACUUGCUUGUUAGCCCAACCCUUACCUGAACCUUGCUCUUCCCAAGAAAUGUAAUCGCUGUGUUCCUGUUCUGUAGUGCGGCACAAACCCACCCCCCUCCUUGCAUUGUGAGACCAGUAGCUGUUUGCGGUUUUACAAGAUAAAAAUCCUGCGCUUUAGUUGUUAGGCGUGCAGUCUUCCAUAUUGGCUACCGGAGGCUGCGUCGUCAGGCCUGGCCUAAAAUAAAGCCUUUGCUCCAAAUUUCUUAA
Cavia porcellus (domestic guinea pig) is the source of this 2964-nucleotide long non-coding RNA. RefSeq lists it as uncharacterized. Lineage: Eukaryota; Metazoa; Chordata; Mammalia; Rodentia; Caviidae. The record is from RefSeq and is a predicted model, not a curated record. The transcript has 3 exons.